RNAcentral lists this long non-coding RNA (535 nucleotides) under Coturnix japonica (Japanese quail). RNAcentral describes it as "lncRNA (ENSCJPG00005017968.1)". The record is from RNAcentral. Lineage: Eukaryota; Metazoa; Chordata; Aves; Galliformes; Phasianidae.
CUGGAUUCCAUUCCUCUAAAUUGUGCAGUUUUCUCCCCUCGUAUUGGAAGCUUGUUUGUUUUGCUACAUUUAUUUAUUUAUUAUAAUAUUUAUUUAUUUAUUUUAUUUUAUUUUUUCCAGGAGAAGAGGGUCUCAGAGGGUGAAGACUGGAGACAGGCAUUUAGAAUCUGGAUACUCAGUCCCUGGUCCAGCAGUACAGAGAAUUCAUACCCUGGUACAACUGCACAGAAUAGCCUGGGAGAAACAUGUGGAUGUAAAAUAGGGAAUAUUACUUUGACUGUUUUGGAGGACAUGCACUGUUUUCCAUGCAUACACCAGCAAUACAGGAAGGUCAAGAAGGUGAAUGGGAAAUGCUUGGAAGGGGAAGGUAGACAUCAAAGCGAAGAAUGGCUGGUUGUGGUGGCAAGUCAGAAAAGGUUAUGGCUUGCUGAUACAAACCCAACUCAGUAGUGACUAAAAUUUGUUGCUGCAGAACAAUACUGGCAGGAGAACAAAUGGGUCCCAUGAAUAAAUUUAGGCUGAUAAAUAGGAAGCA